RNAcentral lists this ribosomal RNA (413 nucleotides) under uncultured bacterium. RNAcentral's name for it is "bacterial SSU rRNA". It matches the Rfam family "Bacterial small subunit ribosomal RNA", at positions 505 to 916 of the family's 1533-position model. The record is from RNAcentral.
GUGCCAGCCGCCGCGGUAAGACGAGGGAUCCUAGCGUUGUUCGGAAUCAUUGGGCGUAAAGCGGGUGUAGGUGGCUUUGUAAGUCGAGUGUGAAAGCCUGGGGCUCAACCCCAGAAGUGCAUUCGAUACUGCGAAGCUUGAGUGGUAGAGAGAUUAGUAGAAUUGUUGGUGUAGUGGUGAAAUACGUAGAUAUCAACAGGAAUACCGGAGGCGAAGGCGGCUAAUUGGCUACACACUGACACUCAGACCCGAAAGUGCGGGGAUCAAACAGGAUUAGAUACCCUGGUAGUCCGCACCAUAAACGAUGGAUACUUGUUGUUGGAGGUAUUGACCCCUUCAGUGACGAAGCUAACGCGUUAAGUAUCCCGCCUGGGGAGUACGGUCGCAAGAUUAAAACUCAAAUGAAUUGGCGG